This 481-nucleotide ribosomal RNA is filed under the name uncultured bacterium. RNAcentral's name for it is "partial 16S ribosomal RNA". It matches the Rfam family "Bacterial small subunit ribosomal RNA", at positions 28 to 507 of the family's 1533-position model. The record is from RNAcentral.
GACGAACGUUGGCGGCGUGCUUAAUACAUGCAAGUCAACUGAAGCAGUGGUAGCAAUAUCGCUGUGGAGGUGGCGCACGGGUGAGUAACACGUAGGUAAUCUGCCUUCAGGUCUGGCAUAACUCCGGGAAACCGGGGCUAAUAGCAGAUGAUGCAGCGGCUCGACAUCGAGACAGUUGUUAAAGCUAUGGCGCCUGAAGAUGAGCCUGCGUCUGAUUAGCUAGUUGGCGGGGUAACGGCCCACCAAGGCAACGAUCAGUAGCUGGUCUGAAAGGAUGAUCAGCCACACUGGAACUGAGACACGGUCCAGACUCCUACGGGAGGCAGCAGUAAGGAAUAUUGCUCAAUGGGAGAAAUCCUGAAGCAGCAACGCCGCGUGAGGGACGAAAGGCUUUUGCUUGUAAACCUCUGUAGUGAGAGAAAAAAAUCCCAAUCUUUGGGACAUGAUGGUAUCUCAAAAGUAAGCCCCGGCUAACUACGUG